GAUGAACGCUGGCGGCGUGCCUAAUACAUGCAAGUCGAGCGAACGGACGAGAAGCUUGCUUCUCUGAUGUUAGCGGCGGACGGGUGAGUAACACGUGGAUAACCUACCUAUAAGACUGGGAUAACUUCGGGAAACCGGAGCUAAUACCGGAUGAUAUUUUGAACCGCAUGGUUCAAAAGUGAAAGACGGUCUUGCUGUCACUUAUAGAUGGAUCCGCGCUGCAUUAGCUAGUUGGUAAGGUAACGGCUUACCAAGGCAACGAUGCAUAGCCGACCUGAGAGGGUGAUCGGCCACACUGGAACUGAGGCACGUUCCAGACUCCAACGGGAGGCAGCAGUAGGGAAUCUUCCGCAAUGGGCGAAAGCCUGACGGAGCAACGCCGCGUGAGUGAUGAAGGUCUUCGGAUCGUAAAACUCUGUUAUUAGGGAAGAACAUAUGUGUAAGUAACUGUGCACAUCUUGACGGUACCUAAUCAGAAAGCCACGGCUAACUACGUG
Molecule: ribosomal RNA, 497 nt
Filed under: uncultured bacterium
Lineage: Bacteria
Description: partial 16S ribosomal RNA
Rfam family: Bacterial small subunit ribosomal RNA
Source: RNAcentral